GACGAACGCUGGCGGCGCGCCUAACACAUGCAAGUCGAACGGGAUCCUUUAGGAAGCUUGCUUCUUGGCUGAUCUAGUGGCGGACGGGUGAGUAACACGUGAGCAACCUGCCGCGGAGUGGGGGACAACGUCUGGAAACGGACGCUAAUACCGCAUAACAUACCUGGGAGACAUCUCUCGGGUAUCAAAGGAGAAAUCCGCUUUGCGAUGGGCUCGCGCCCGAUUAGAUAGUUGGUGGGGUAACGGCCCACCAAGUCGACGAUCGGUAGCCGGACUGAGAGGUUGAACGGCCACAUUGGGACUGAGACACGGCCCAGACUCCUACGGGAGGCAGCAGUGGGGAAUAUUGGACAAUGGGCGAAAGCCUGAUCCAGCCAUGCCGCAUGAGUGAAGAAGGCCUUUGGGUUGUAAAGUUCUUUUAGUGAGGAAGAUAAUGACGGUACUCACAGAAGAAGUCCUGGCUAACUCCGUGCCAGCAGCCG
RNAcentral lists this ribosomal RNA (482 nucleotides) under uncultured bacterium. RNAcentral describes it as "bacterial SSU rRNA". It matches the Rfam family "Bacterial small subunit ribosomal RNA", at positions 28 to 517 of the family's 1533-position model. The record is from RNAcentral.